UACGGGGGGGGCAAGCGUUGUUCGGAAUUACUGGGCGUAAAGGGCUCGUAGGCGGCCAACUAAGUCGGAUGUGAAAUCCACAGGCUCAACUUGGGAACUGCAUCCGAUACUGGAUGGCUUGAAUUCGGGAGAGGGAUGCAGAAUUCCAGGUGUAGCGGUGAAAUGCGUAGAUAUCUGGAGGAAUACCGGUGGCGAAGGCGGCAUCCUGGACCGACAUUGACGCUGAGGAGCGAAAGCUAGGGGAGCAAACGGG
RNAcentral lists this ribosomal RNA (253 nucleotides) under uncultured bacterium. RNAcentral's name for it is "partial 16S ribosomal RNA". It matches the Rfam family "Bacterial small subunit ribosomal RNA", at positions 524 to 776 of the family's 1533-position model. The record is from RNAcentral.